This 508-nucleotide ribosomal RNA is filed under the name uncultured bacterium. RNAcentral's name for it is "partial 16S ribosomal RNA". It matches the Rfam family "Bacterial small subunit ribosomal RNA", at positions 28 to 507 of the family's 1533-position model. The record is from RNAcentral.
GACGAACGCUGGCGGCGUGCCUAAUACAUGCAAGUCGAACGCUUCUUUCCUCCCGAGUGCUUGCACUCAAUUGGAAAGAGGAGUGGCGGACGGGUGAGUAACACGUGGGUAACCUACCCAUCAGAGGGGGAUAACACUUGGAAACAGGUGCUAAUACCGCAUAACAGUUUAUGCCGCAUGGCAUAAGAGUGAAAGGCGCUUUCGGGUGUCGCUGAUGGAUGGACCCGCGGUGCAUUAGCUAGUUGGUGAGGUAACGGCUCACCAAGGCCACGAUGCAUAGCCGACCUGAGAGGGUGAUCGGCCACACUGGGACUACGACACGGCCCAGACUCCUACGGGAGGCAGCAGUAGGGAAUCUUCGGCAAUGGACGAAAGUCUGACCGAGCAACGCCGCGUGAGUGAAGAAGGUUUUCGGAUCGUAAAACUCUGUUGUUAGAGAAGAACAAGGACGUUAGUAACUGAACGUCCCCUGACGGUAUCUAACCAGAAAGCCACGGCUAACUACGUG